GGCUCUAUCCGAAUCCAUAACGACUCUCGGCAACGGAUAUCUAGGCUCUCGCAUCGAUGAAGAACGUAGCAAACUGUGAUACUUGGUGUGAAUUGCAGAAUCCCGUGAACCAUCGAGUUUUUGAACGCAAGUUGCGCCCGAAGCCAUUAGGCCAAGGGCACGUCUGCCUGGGCGUCACGCAUCGCGUCGCCCCCCCACCCCAGUGGUGUCGGGGCGGAAAAUGGCAUCCCGUGGUCUGUCGCGGCCUGCCUAAACCCGUGUCCCUCGUCGCGGACGUCACGACAAGUGGUGGUUGAAAUCCUCAACUCGAAUGCGAGUCGUGCGCACCUCGUGGCCGAGACGACACGUAAUAGACCCUGAGACGAUUCCCUUUCGAGGGAGGAGCAUACGUCAUGACUGCGACCCCA
RNAcentral lists this unclassified non-coding RNA (407 nucleotides) under Trachelospermum jasminoides. Its description in RNAcentral is "partial contains internal transcribed spacer 1, 5.8S ribosomal RNA, and internal transcribed spacer 2". The stretch from base 22 to 177 matches the Rfam family "5.8S ribosomal RNA". The record is from RNAcentral. Lineage: Eukaryota; Viridiplantae; Streptophyta; Magnoliopsida; Gentianales; Apocynaceae.